RNA transcript from Triplophysa rosa, 8040 nucleotides. It is a transcript of the gene named potassium voltage-gated channel, Shaw-related subfamily, member 3a, with no coding region annotated. Lineage: Eukaryota; Metazoa; Chordata; Actinopteri; Cypriniformes; Nemacheilidae. The transcript is spliced from 7 exons. The record is from RefSeq and is a predicted model, not a curated record.
AAAGGGAGGGAAAACAGAGGGAUCCUGUGUCACCAUUAGAUUAAGGACUAAGGAUUAAGUUUGGAAAUACUGGUUUACCUAAACAAAAACAUCGACAGGGGAAAAAAAGGAAGGGAAAAUCGAACGGAUAAGUCUCAGGAACAACAUUUCCAGUCGUGUUCGACAUGGCGCUUAUUCGGCAUAAAUAAUUAUCUGCAACUAAAGACCUGUUUACGUUAACUGUAACACUGGACAACGGGAGCAGGUGAAGAUACGCAAGAAAGGAUGCUAAAAUUGAGAAGAAAGGGAUAGAGUGAGUGCAUGAGGAUUUAAGAGAGAGGGAGAGGUUUCCCCGGCGCACGCUUUCUUCGGCUGGAUAGACUGUUUCGUUUAGUGAAUAAAAAGUAAACGAUUAACACAAGCUUUAUUAAAACAGAUGCAAAUAAUAUAACAGGAAAAUAAAUUUAGAUGUUAGAACGAUGAAUGCGGUGUCACUCAUGUAUUUUACGCGAAAGGACCAGGGUGACACAUAGGCGAGAAAUUAUAUGAAUAUAUAUAGCCUUUAUUUUUCUGUUUAUAUUAACGUUACCAAAGGAAGGGGCGUACGCACAAUAGCACGGUGAAGUUGCGAUGUUUUGAAAUGCUAUGAAAUGCUAGGUGUUGUAGCAAGGGCAUAUUGCAUUAUUUAAAACCUCUAGCCAUUUUCAUAAAAAUACAUAUUAGGGUCAUUCGGACCGCACGCCGAGAGGAUCAUUUCUUUACAUCUGAAAACAUACUCAAUUCCAUCUAACAUUUUCGUGCAAUUUGUGUUUAUGUGUGUGUGUUCAAUAACACACACACACAGCCCGCACGCGAACAGAGCCAGACCCAGAACGAGCUCCUCCCACCCUCCUCCCCUCUCGGUUCUCUCUCCUCCUCUCUCUCCCCCUGCUCCUCUAUGCUCAGUUCGGUGUGUGUUUCCUCUUUCAAAGGGCGCAAGGGUGGGAACAAGUCGUCCAACAAAGCAUGUUACAGCGCAGACAUGACUUGUCCGUCAGAGAGCGAGAAAAUAGUGAUAAACUGCGGCGGGAUUCGGCACGAGACGUACCGCAGCACGUUGAAGACGCUGCCCGGGACCCGCUUGUCCUGGCUCACCGAGCCAGAUGCGUUCAGUAACUUUGACUAUGACCCCAAAUCCGAUGAGUUUUUCUUUGAUCGUCACCCCAACACGUUUGCUUUCAUCCUCAAUUAUUACCGCACGGGAAAGUUGCAUUGUCCCAACGAUGUCUGCGGUCCUCUGUUCGAGGAGGAGCUCGCUUUCUGGGGUAUCGACGAGACGGACGUGGAGGCUUGCUGCUGGAUGAACUACCGACAGCACAGGGAUGCCGAGGAAGCGCUGGACAGCUUCGAGACGCCAGAGCCCGACCCGCCAGAGGAUGACCCGGCGCUCACGGGUGGCGCGGACGGGGACUUGAAGAGGUUGUGUCUACAGGAGGAUGGUCGGAACCCCAGCUGGUGGAGUAUAUGGCAGCCCCGAAUCUGGAAUCUGUUUGAGGAUCCCUAUUCCUCGAAAUACGCCAGGUAUGUGGCGUUCGGCUCGCUUCUGUUCAUCCUCAUCUCCAUCUCAACAUUUUGCUUGGAGACACACGAGGCCUUCAACACCAUCUACAAUAAGACAGAGAACGUGACGGUGGGGAAUGUCACGCGGGAGGAGAUUGUGUAUGAGGUAGUGACUGACAACUGGCUCACCUACGUGGAGGGCAUGUGCGUCAUCUGGUUCACCAUCGAGGUGUUUGCCCGUGUGAUCUUCUGCCCGGACAAGGCGGAGUUCUUCAAGAGCUCGCUGAACAUCAUCGACUUUGUAGCCAUUCUGCCCUUUUACCUGGAGGUGGCGCUGAGCGGCCUCUCCUCUAAAGCAGCUAAAGACGUGCUGGGCUUCUUGCGUGUGGUGCGAUUUGUCCGGAUCCUGCGAAUCUUCAAGCUCACGCGUCAUUUCGUCGGGCUGAGGGUGCUGGGCCACACGCUCCGCGCCAGCACGAACGAAUUCUUGCUUCUCAUCAUCUUCCUCGCUCUCGGAGUGCUCAUCUUCGCCACCAUGAUCUACUACGCAGAGCGCAUCGGCGCGGACCCAGACGACCCCACGGCGAGCGCCCACACCACCUUUAAAAACAUCCCCAUCGGCUUUUGGUGGGCGGUGGUAACCAUGACGACGCUGGGCUAUGGCGACAUGUAUCCAGAGACAUGGUCUGGUAUGUUAGUGGGUGCCUUGUGUGCCCUGGCGGGCGUGCUGACCAUCGCCAUGCCCGUGCCCGUCAUUGUGAACAACUUUGGCAUGUACUACUCUCUGGCUAUGGCCAAGCAGAAGCUUCCCAAGAAAAAGAACAAGCACAUCCCGCGGGCUCCACAGCCUGGAUCGCCCAACUACUGUAAACCAGACGCCCUGGCCAUGGCCACUGCCUCGCCGCACAGGCUCAUGGGUAAUGUGAUAGGCAGUAUGGUGGGCUCUGGAAGCAUGGCAGGAGACUGUCCUCUCGCACAGGAGGAAAUCAUAGAGAUUAACAGAGCAGACUCAAAGCAGAAUGGGGAUGCUGCAAAUGCAGCUCUGGCUAAUGAGGACUGUCCCACCAUAGACCAGGUGAUGGGGCCGGAUGACAGGAGUCCGGCCACCGGUGGGUUCGGCGCAGGCACGGGGCGCGAACGUUACCCCCACGACCGGGCCUGCUUCCUCCUCAGUACUGGAGAGUUCCGCACCACAGACAGCAAUGUCAGGAAAGAAUCUGCAGUCGACAACCCAGUCUCCCCCCCAGGAGAAGAGUGGUUCAAGCCGGAAGGGCCACUGCUACAGCAGGACCUCAAUGCGAAUUCUGCCACUUCCUGGAUCAAACCAUAGUGACACAGAGAGAACUAUUCUGAAAGCCCAGUGCUUAUCAGAUAUAUGCAAAAAGAAGCAGUAACUGUGAACUAAUCCUAGAACAGAAAAUCCACUUCUUCCUUUUUCAAAUACAUUCCCGACCGAACACCUGACCCCUGUCCCCCGAAACCAGUAUCAGCUCCUGUACAUUCCAUUCGGUCUCAUCACAGCUAAUUUCAGUACUGUAUUGCCAUCUCACGUUCCCCAAACUCAUGACAUCAUCAAUCUUAUAGUUAUGCAUUAUAAAGGAGCAUUUUAGCCCCUUCAGCUCGGACCCCCCAACUACCCCCCCCUGCAGGAUUUACGGGGAUUGAACUGACGUAGCAUUCAGCGUCGUAGGUCACAAGCAUUCUUUGGUCACUUUAGUGGCUAAGAAUACAGAUUUUAGCCCUUAAAGUUUACCUGUUAUAUAAAUAUAUGAUUUAAAAGAUCAUUUUAAGGCGUUCAUUGGAAUAUAUUCUGACUAGACCGGUCAGAACUGAAGGACUUUCUGUGCUUUUGAGUGUGGCGAGUGAAAACAGUCUAUAGGUUUUUCUACUCGGGGGAGUGUGAAGGAUAAUGAUAAUACUCACUACAGCAAUGCAUGUGUCCACACAUUCUUCAAGAAAACUAAGUGCUGCAUCCUAGUGCAUCUUGUGGUUUUUCUGUGUGUAGUCUCUUUGUAGAUGUGAGUCUGGGAGGGGCCAGCUCCAUUAUACAGUAUAUCCCUUUAUGAUGUAGAAGAGAUAGGGCUGCCCCUAGUUAGCUUAGUUAGCGAAUGCCCUGGUAGGCAAAAACAAGGCUGCAUGUGACCGUGGAGGACGAUGUAAAUAAUUCUCUUUGCAUGUUAACAGCACAGAAGCUAUAGUUUAAUUGUGGCAUUUUGAAUAGGGAGAGCAGGUCGGUUAAACUACAUUACCCAGAAUCCUCUCUGUCUCUGUCAGACUUCUGCUCCCCUGUCACUACUCAGGUAUAUCUCUUUUUGUUCGUCUGAACAAGUGCUUCCAAAAUGAUGUCAUUCGAAACAAAGAGAGAGACAGAAAGUGAUGAUCUGUAAACAUCCCGUCUACACGUGCAUCAAAGUGUCCUUGUGCUUUGUGUGCCCACCCGUUUCGUUUUUCUCACCACUGUCAUUUCUUGUCACUUUAAUUUGUCUUCAUCAACAAACUCUACUGCUUCCAAAUAACAACCAAAAAAGCCCAGAUGACGUAAGGAAAAAUUGUCCGCCAUUUCAUAAAACUUUUCGAACACGGUUCGCCGUAAGUGGAUCACAAAAACUGUAUGUGGAAUCAGGACUCAACCGAAUGGCGAGAUGAAAACAUGAGGGACAGAUUGUUUGUUUGAGUGUUAAGAGGAUUUUCGACAAAUGAAGACAGGCGCCUUGAAAUGGAGGACAGUUUGGGGAAGAAAGAAAAUAAAAGAGGAGGAGUUGCGCUGAACGCUUCUCAGUUGCUGAGCUUCUGAACUGCCCUCUUUCACUUCAGAAGAGCACCCCAACUUCAAAGCCAGAAUCAAACCCCAGGAGUCGCCACAAGAUUAAAGAUGACUCAGAGAAGGCGAAAGAGAGAAUGAGAGACGACUGAAGUGCUGCGCUAAACCCACUUGAAGAAAACAUUGUAUCACUCAUCUCUCCAUUACUAACCCCAGACUAUUUCAGCCUAGCGUAGGUGCAAUAACCUGAUGAUGAUUCUGUGUCCUGGGAGGAUGUGAAACUCAGAUUCUUCCAGGAUCAAAAAGGGCGAAACUCUGCAUAUAAACAGUAGUAUGUUCUGGCACGACCCUUCAAAACCUUUCUCUAACUACCUAAAGAGCAAGGUGGAAAAUGGAUGCAAUUUUAAAGGGACAGGAACUAUUUUUGUGGAGCGUGAAUCCUUCCUUAACCUGUACCACCAAGUUAAAUGCACCUGCAACCGUGUCCCCUCCAACCCUGAUCAAUCCAGUCUUAGGUUCAAGUAAGGUGUGGAAAAAUACCCAUAAUGCUCUUUCAACGCUAUGCAAUUCAACCACACAUUGAUAUCGACAGACCACAGUUCAUCCGAUGCUUAAACGGAACAGUUUAUCACCCAGACACUUUCCUCUCCUUGGCUUUUUGGAGAUCUUGCACGUGCUUUAACAGCAUCUUCAGUAUUCCUACUGUGUAAACUGUUUUCCAUCCAUCUAACUAAAAAUCUUAGUGUCCUUCUCAGGGCUAACAGAAAGGAGACUUUGUCCGCUAUAAAGAAAAGAAUGUCAGCCUCUCUUUUCUCUCUCUCUCUUUCUCUCUCUCUUAGUUCAGCUCUGCAUCUCAGCAUUUCUGUUCCACUGUAGAUGAACUGCAUGGCAUGAAUGAAAUGGAAAAAAGAGAGAAGGAUCAUAUUGAGAGGAACCUGAUAUGACGUCUAACGUAGGCAGGACUUCUCUGAUUGCACAGUGAAAUGGAUGGGUGAAUGAAACUCGGAUCAGGACCGUGGAUGAAAAAUGCUGGUCUUGCACCUUCAUGUGAGGAACAGAAAAUAUGACAUAUGUGCAUGACACCUGUUGACGGACAGAGGGGUUUUACGUGGACUGGGUGAACUUUAAACAAAAGAAAGACAAAAAAAAGAACGAGAAAAUAAAAAAUGCAUUUUUCUCACUUUGUUUACCAGCAUGACUAAACUGCAUGACUUCUGUAAGCCCUGAACCCCGAAUUAGAGGGCUUGAAAUGACUAAACAACAAAAUCAAAUGGAAAUAAUAAAAGUUUAUGCUAAAUGCUACUAAAUUUAGAAAAAAAAGAUUAUAUUUAAAAAAGAGAGAGGCUAUAUUUUGUUUUUGAAUAAAAAAGGAAUAAUGAAUAAAUAUAUAGGAUUGCAAGAUUCAUACAGUUUUGUUGGAUAACAAACCCCACAGAGUCUAGCUGAAUAAUGAGAUGAACUUCUUCAACGACCGCUUCUUCCAUGGCUUCAAAAGACAUCUCCUCCUUUCUGAUGUUUCAUUCUUUACUUGAACUCUCCUGGCUCUCUGCUCUGCCCGUCACUUUUCUGUAGUCUCUUGUCAUGACCUCCAUAAGUAGCACCACAGCUUUUUCUUUUCAUGGUUUUCAUGAUUUGUUUCAUUUUCUCAUUGAGGUCAUGAAGGGUCCACAUGAAAUGAUUUUGUGUUUAUUUGCAAUAUAACAAAUCCACGUCUAUUCUGUAGGUAAAUCAAAGCUUUAUCCAUUAAUGUGAGCCUGAGUCCACCCAAAUAUUAAUCUUAUAAAUAUCAGCUUUGUGUGAACUUUAAGACUCUGAGCACUUACAUUGCAAAGCACUAUUGUCCUAUCAAGCCCUAACAUCUAACAUCAAAGGUGCUCAGGAGGACAAGUUGAAACCAGAAGAUGGUUUUGUAGUGCUUGUUUUGUUUAGAAUGUUUUCAUCAGCAUUUAACAGCACUUUUUUGUUGGGUGGUACAAAAUUGUUAAUGUUUGCAAGAUGUCGACGGAGUGUUAUUUCAGUCAUUUCAUUUUGUUUGUUCGAUUGUUUUCUUGUAAAGAUUCACAGGAGUUUGUUACAAUACAAACGUAACACACCAGAACGUUCCCACCAAUCCAGCACCAUUCAUCCCAUACUAAAAUGGAUUUAGGAUUAAACAGCAUUGUUCUGGGAGGUAGCAGGUCAUAAUUUCAUUAUUACUGUUUUUACAUCAUAGUGGUGUAAACAUGACAAUGUUAUCAAACCUGUUCACUUUUGUUUGUUUCACAAACAAGAGAUGAUGAUGUUGAACUGUAUUUAUCCUAUUCUGUCCAUGUUCAUCAUCCAUUCUGUUCGAAAUGUGAUGCAAACUUAGUUUAGCAACUACCUAUGCAACACCUAAGCAAGACCUUAGCAGCUUCCAUACAUGUCAUGUCCUCAGGCCAGCUGGCUGGUGUCUGUUUACUGGUGCUGUGUGUCCAGACAGUGGGGUAACGACACAGACGCAGCUUCUUCACCACAUAGACAAGGGCCAGCAUUGUGCAGUGUACAUCGAAGCUAUUUCUUCAACCACUUCAAAUGUUAGCAACUGCUCCAAGUAGCUUGAAGGUGCGACAGACGUGUAGCUUUAGUAGCCGUGUUGCUUUUAGUGGUGCACUGAUUUUCCUUCCUUGGGUUAUCUUUUGGAAACGCUUGGAGGCCCGGUUUGGAGGCCCGGUAUAUAGGCAACGCAGGAAGACAUUCAUGCACUUUUCAAAUUAAAUUGUACAGUUAUAUGUAAGCAUAUAUAGUCUUGUCAGUGGAUAUGUAGGACACGUUACCAAAUCUUCCAUGGUUUGAAACCGGUUUAUUUUAUAUGUAGGAAAUGUUUAUUUGCAUCUCACACGCAUUUGGCAAAUGCUUAAGAUGAGAUGUGCCUCUCUGGUCGUUCAUAAUGUAGAAUUGACAGUUUCACAAAUAGAUAUUACCGAGCAGGAGCAAUAAUGACGGAACGCCAUUUGUUUCCAAUUGUUUAGUGUCAUCGUUUUUGGAAUUGGGGGACAUGUUCAUUUCAUCCCUUAUAUUAAAUCCAGUGUGCCUGAAACUGUUCCCUGAAUGUUUCUGUAUGUAAAUUGGACACAACCUCUCUCUCGAGUAAUUCCAGUGUAUGUGAGAAUGUGCCCCGUGUGUUUUGGCCGUACAUGCACUUGCUGAGUGAGCUCACAUCUCCUCGAGAACAGCUAGACACUUGCAUACCUUUACUUGAAACCCAAAUACAAAACAUAUCAGAGAGGAGCAGAAUAAAGCCAGAAUCAAUCUUCACUCUUUUCCUGUUUGCAUCCACCUUUCAUUUCUCUCUCCUCUCUUCCCUCUCCUUCUCUAUUUUUGAGGAAGAAGCUUUUUUGCAUCUCGUGUUCUUGUGUUUUUCUAUCCUAUUGUUUGAAGUUGUUUGAAGAUAAUAAUGCAUGCAUGGAAUACAAUGAGGACAUAACUUGUGAAUAAUUUGUGAAUGGACCGAAUGAGGUAACCGUCUCUUUCGCCUGGGCUCUCUUCUCUGCUGUAUCUCUCUCCAAGGCACCUAUAGAGAGAGAGAGAGAAAGAGAGAAAGAAAGAAAGAGAGAGAGAGAGAGAGAGAGAGAGAGGGAGGGAGAGAGAGAGAGAGAAAGAAAGAAAGAAAGAAAGAAAGAGAGAAAGAAAGAAAGAAAGAAAGAAAGAAAGAAAGAAAGAAAGAAAGAAAGAAAGAAAGAAAGAAAGAAAGAAAGAAAGAAAGAAAGAAAGAAAGAAAGAAAGAAAGAACAGCUAAACAC